AUGCAUUGGAUAAGCACCGCAUUAAAGCUGACCUUUUUGCAAGAGUUUUGGAAGAAUGUUGUCCUGAUAGGGAAAUCUUGGAGCAGUGGUUUACUGUGCACAGACCAGAGUUUUCAAGGCCAUGAGCACAGCAGACUAUCAGGGUGAAAGCCAGGGCCUUGCAUCUUAAAUCACCACCUCCUUGCAGGUAGCUAUCAUGGGUGGUAGUGGGAGUCAGGGCUGGGGUAGUUUGGGACUGGAAUCUGGGGGCUGGGGGGAACCAUGUAGGUGGAUGCAAAAUCG
This 282-nucleotide long non-coding RNA is filed under the name Canis lupus familiaris (dog). RNAcentral's name for it is "lncRNA (ENSCAFG00000049322.2)". Lineage: Eukaryota; Metazoa; Chordata; Mammalia; Carnivora; Canidae. The record is from RNAcentral.